Molecule: RNA transcript, 973 nt
Organism: Caenorhabditis elegans
Lineage: Eukaryota; Metazoa; Nematoda; Chromadorea; Rhabditida; Rhabditidae
Gene: srx-74
Gene name: Non-coding transcript of protein-coding gene srx-74
Exons: 8
Source: RefSeq, marked reviewed
AUGGACACGUUGAAUCUUAUUUGCUCUCUUAUCAUACUUAUUGUAGCGAUACCAGGCAUUUUAUUCAGCUCGUUAAUAGUAUAUUUGUACGUUUCCGGAUUUGCUGAGAAGACCAGUUUCAAUGUGAUAUGUUUAGUAAGAGCUGUAAAUAAUAUAAUUGUGUUGGUCGUCAACUUCUUGAUAUUCCUAUUUCCAACUUUGUUGUUGGUCUUACAACUAUAUGAGCUCAACACUGGACCAAACGCUAACAAUUACCACAAUCGAUAUCUAUGUGUACAAUGAAUUUCAAUCAUUAUUAAUCGCAAUUAAUCGAUUUAUUGCAAUGUAUGCACCAUUACAUUAUAAUAAACUUUGCAGUGUCAAAGUCUCGGUGGUGAUUAUGGCCCUUUAUUAUGUGAAAAAAAUUUAUGGAAGUUUGAAGUCAAGUUACAGUGUCUACGAAGCGGGCUGUCAGCAAUAUUUGGACCUUGCAACAUUCAAAAGACAAUAUGAAAACGCAAGCUGUGAAUCAACAUCGACCAAUAAUGUAGAUGAUUUUGGAUUUUUCAUUUUCCUAUUUUCUGUGGGGUAUUUGGUGUUAUUAUAUGUAAUUAAUCUUCUUACUUUUUAUCAAAUUUUAAAAUUUUAUUUGCGGAAGAAUAAUCAAAGAAGCAACGAGGAUUCGGCGUCGAUCAGGAAAAACAUUCGCUUGUUUUUUCAGACAGUUCUUCAAGAUUCUGUAUUUGCAAUCGAUCAGUUAUUUACAUUCGGAUUAAACUCUCUCAGCGAUCACCGUAUUUGGCUCUUUGUCAGCACAAUGCUUGUAUGGGAAAUGGUUCACUUGCUUGAUGGAUUGAUCAUGUUACUAUUCUCAAAUAGACUCUCAACAUUGAAAGCAAUAAUGGUUAGCAAAAAGUUAAUUUCGAUUGGUGGAGGGAAGCCUUCGGAAGCUCGAUCCGGCAAUCAAGUACACUCUUUGGGGGAAGUUGGCUAA